AGAACGAACGCUGGCGGCAUGCCUAAUACAUGCAAGUCGAACGAAUGCCCUUCGGGGUGUUAGUGGCGCACGGGUGCGUAACGCGUGGGAAUCUGCCCUUGGGUUCGGAAUAACAGUUGGAAACGACUGCUAAUACCGGAUGAUGACGAAAGUCCAAAGAUUUAUCGCCAAGGGAUGAGCCCGCGUAGGAUUAGCUAGUUGGUGAGGUAAAGGCUCACCAAGGCAACGAUCCUUAGCUGGUCUGAGAGGAUGAUCAGCCACACUGGGACUGAGACACGGCCCAGACUCCUACGGGAGGCAGCAGUAGGGAAUAGUUGGACAAUGGG
Molecule: ribosomal RNA, 326 nt
Filed under: uncultured soil bacterium
Lineage: Bacteria
Description: bacterial SSU rRNA
Rfam family: Bacterial small subunit ribosomal RNA
Source: RNAcentral